This 1975-nucleotide long non-coding RNA is filed under the name Homo sapiens (human). RNAcentral describes it as "HSALNT0002911". The record is from RNAcentral. Lineage: Eukaryota; Metazoa; Chordata; Mammalia; Primates; Hominidae.
GCUGGCUGCUGUUUGGAGACAGUGGUCCUUGUAUUGGCGCCCCGCGGAAUCACUCCAGAUGAGUCAGUGGAUACAGUCUAUAGGUCCCGCCUCAUUCUGGCAUAUCCGAAUGGGCUGAGCUACCGGAUUAAGAGGGACACCCCAAAGCCCCCAUUGCUGGGUUAUUGCUCCAGAGCCAAUGUUCUUGGGGAAAGGAAGAUAUGCCCUUUGUCAACAUUGCCACUGCUGGUCUGUAAACUCCUAGACGGCCAGCUGGUGGUUCACAAACCAGGACUCCUUGCUCUGGCCCUACCCCUACCUACCAGAAUGACCGUGAACCCUUCCCCACUCACUCCUACAACCAGGUUUCCAUCUCCUCUCUCAGCUUAGGUUUCCCUAACUGUAAAAUAAAAGGGUUGGACUAGGUUAAGGACUUCCUGCUAUUUCUCUCUCCCACACUCUAAGGUUCCUUAGGAAUGCUUCAGAAAACAGCAGGGGUUGGGGCAAGGAUGCCGCUUGAGUCCCAGAGCAACUCCAAUUUCAUAGGCACAUAAAUUUAUGUGAAAGUAUAUACGUUUCGGCUUGUGUAAGAUUAUUUUAUCAUCCCAGGUAAAAUUCAGCCUUUGUGCUUCAUCUUUCCCCACCCUCCUGCUCACUCAGUUUGCUCCAAGAACACUGACCUUCUGGCUAUUUUGCAAAUCUGACAAUCUGACAAGCUCAUCUUCACUUCUUUUUUUUUUUUUUUUUUUUUUUUGAGACGGAGUUUCGCUCUUGUUGUCUAAGCUGGAGUGCAAUGGUGUGAUCUCGACUCACUGCAACCUCUGCCUCCCGGAUUCAAGCGAUUCUCCUGCCUCAGCCUCCCGAGUAACUGGGAUUACAGGCACGAGCCACCACACCCGGCUAAUUUUUUGUACUUUUAGUAGAGACGGGGUUUCGCCAUAUUGGCCAGGCUGGUCUCGAACUCCUGACCUCAGGUGAUCCGCCCACCUCAGCCUCCCAAAGUGCUGGGAUUACAGGUGUGAGCCACCACGCCCAGCCUUUUUUUGAGGCAGAGUCUCAUUCUGUCACCCAGGCUGGAAUGCAGUGGCAUGAUCUCAGCUCACUGCAACUUCCACCUCCUGGGUUGAAGUGAUUCUCUUGCCUUAGCCUCCCAAGUAGUUCAGAUUACAGACUUGCACCACCCUGUCCAGCUAAUUUUUGUAUUUUUAGUAGAGACAGGGUUUUGCCAUGUUCCCCAGGCUGGUCUCGAACUCCUGACCUCAAGCGAUCCACCCACCUCGGCUUCCCAAAGUGCUGGGAUUACAGGCGUGAGCCAUCGCACCCGGCCUCAUCUUCACUUCUUUUGCUGAUCUCUGCUUGCAGUGCUCUUUCCUGAGAUCUGUUCACCCAGGUUCCAGUUCAACUGUAGCGUCUCCUUUUCUGCCCACCUCCUCUAUCCCCCGACCCCGGGCACCCUUCCAAUUCCUUUAUAACCUGUUACUUUGUUUUUGUGAUUACCUAGUUAUUUUCUAUCUCAUCCACUAGAGGCAGUGUCCACAAAGCUAAGGACUUUGUCUGCCCUGUCACCACCAUGACCCCAGUACUUAAAACUGAGCAUAGGCCGGGCACGGUGGCUCACACCUGUAAUCCCAGCACUUUGGCAGGCCGAGAUGGGCGGAUCACAAGGUCAGGAGAUCGAGACCAUCCUGGCUAACACGGUGAAACUUCAUCUCUACCAAAAAUACAAAAAAAUUAGACGGGCGUGGUGGCGAGUGCCUGUAGUCCCAGCUACUCGGGAGGCUGAGACAGGAGAAUGGCGUGAACCCGGGAGGCGGAGUUUGCAGUGAGCUGAGGUCACGCCACUGCACUCCAGCCUGGGCGACAGAGCAAGACUCUGUCUCAAAAAAAAAAAAAAAAACAAAAAAACAAAAACUGAGCAUAGGAGCCAGGCGCAGUGGCUCACGCCUAUAAUCCCAGCACUUUGGGAGGCCGAGGCAGGCGGAUCACCUGAGGUCAG